This 2767-nucleotide ribosomal RNA is filed under the name Triticum aestivum (bread wheat). Its description in RNAcentral is "partial small subunit ribosomal RNA". Lineage: Eukaryota; Viridiplantae; Streptophyta; Magnoliopsida; Poales; Poaceae. The record is from RNAcentral.
GUGGAUUGGAGGGGUUUCAAGAGGAUUUUCCUCGCGUGGGCCAGAAACCCCAAAAGAAACCGUCGGCCCCUUUCGUACAGGGGGUUUGGAUGGGCGGAUCCUCUCUAAUCCCCUUCGAUCCUCCCGAACCCACGCGACUCAGAACCCUUGUCGAAGGGCUCAGGGAAUCUCUCGACCGAGCGCACGCCGCCAGCCACGGAGGGGAGGAGCCCCGCCGCCGGAUCUUCAACGCCGCCGCCACCAAGGGGAAGAGCCCCGCCGCCGCCACCGAGGGGAGGAGCCCCGCCGGCGAGAGGAGGAGCCCGCCGCCGCCGCCCGAUUCUACCUGACGCCCCGACGCCGCCCGACGCCGGCGUUACUCCUCCAGAAUACUGGCGUUCUCCCUGGUGGUCCCACUGAACCAGGUUGAGAAGUGGAACAAGCAGAGGAAGAAUGUGACAUUGGCAGGGUCCCUCGAAAUCGUCUGUUUGAGAGUCUCGGUUGCUUUUGUGUCUGCGCUACUGCUGUCUUAUGGUUGGAAUUUAUGCUCCUGUCAUGUACUCUCUUCCAACAAUAGUUAAGCAUGCAGAACAUCAAGUGAUGCUUUUUUCUAUAUUGCAUAAAUAGUUAAGCAUGCUUAUGUAUUCUCAGCAUGCUUUUUUCUAUGUUGCAUAAAUAGUUAAGCAUGCUUAUGUAUUCUCAGCAUGCUUAAAUAUACGCAUGUCUUGCCUAGGACUUUUCUCUAUGUUCCAAGUCAUGCUGAUGUAAGAGAAUAUGUCGCUGUUAUGUGACAGCGCAAUUAUGUGAUGAUAUAUUGAUUCCAAGUCAAGCAAAUUAUGUUGUUCAUGUGAAGAACUGUUGCAAGAUUAGAUUUUUAACUGUUUUACAACAUUUUAAUUCAAUAUGGCAAUCCCUUUCUGUCAAACAGUGUUUUGUACGGAGGGGGAUUUGAGGGAUGUGUGGCUGGAGGGGGAUUUGAGGUUUCAAGGGGAUUGGGUGAAAGAGGGGGAUUCACCAAAUCCCCUGGAAUCCUCUCCUCCCAAAACCUCCACAAUCCCUUGCUGUCAAACAAGGCCUAAGGAAAACUGGAGGAUACACCCGGAUUGGGUUCAGAGGUUUAAAUGGGCUAGGCUUUUACCUUUUGCGCGUCUGGUUGGGGCCACUGAUACCUCUACAUGCCUUGGCAUUGACGCCUCUUUGCUCACCUGCUUAGUGGACUGAUGGAGGCCCGAGAUCCACACGUUUCACUUCCGUUGGGGAGAGAUGGCUCAUAAUUUGUAGGAUGUGUCACUUUUGUUGGGACCACUAUUCAAAAUAUCGGUCGAUUAUCGCUUAUCGGGGUCUGAUUGAUAAGAUAAGUGAAUAUCACUGGUAUUUAUCGGUCUAACCAAUAUAUCGAUCAUACAAUCGAUAUAUCACCGAUAUUCUCCGACAUUUGCCAAUAUUGACAAGUAAAUCUAUGGGACCCAACUGAUUUAGCUCCCGAUUUUUUUAUUUUGGUUGAGUUUUUGUGGUCUUGAUGCCUCCUAUUUGUGUAGAUGGCUACUUUCAAUACAUCCCAGGUCGUUUAAGAGGAAUACGGAUGACAUGGCUUACAAGUUUGCCAUGUUGAUUGAUCCAGAUGAUACAGAAAGCUGAGAUUUUUAAAAAACCUUGCCAAUAAAUAGUCUACCGAUAAAAUUGAUAAAUUGGCCGAUAAGUCGAUUUAUCUCUUAUCUUGGGUUGAUCGAUAAGUUGAAGCGGUAUCCUGAACAUUGGGUUGGACUACCGUUGGCGGUUCCUGCCAUUGGACCAUUCGAGGCACCAGCUCCUUGGGAGCAGGAAAUUGCACAACAUUUCCAGGGUGUUUAUGAGGGUGCUCCGACCUUUGCCUCGGAGCCUCACGGACCGCUUGAUUGGUUGCUUCAUUUUCGGAUACAGAAGUUUCCGGCUAUCCACAAUUCCCCUUGAAUGCGACAUAGAUCACUCGGAGCCUGGAGGCAUACCUACCGUGGCUUCUCGGGAAGGUGAUGUUUACAGAGAACCAUGUCACUAGUAUUAGUGCAUGCUACAUCCCUAUUGCACCGGAGAUCGCGAGAGCUGAGUUGCUGGACCAGAUCACACAGAGGAGUUGGGGUUUUGUGGUUUUAGUGGUUACAUACCGAGGUAUGUGCAACGGUUGCCAACUUGUGUUGCAGAAGGCAGCUCUUCUUGGAUGCCCUCUAUUUUUACAGUUGUGGUCGUGGGGAGAGGUUCUCUAUAGGACAACCCAACAUACAUGUUGAAGAGGGUUGGCCUGUGGGGGAGCUUUUCGAUGCUGACCACAAUGACAUGCCUACUUUCGGUAUGUGCUGGACAUGUUGCAAGGUAUGUCUGAUCUUAUAAUUUUUUGCAUUUCCCCAUGUACACUAUGGUUGAAACUAACUUUUGUUUUGCGAAGAGAUGCUUUGCUAGUGAUCAGACUAGGUGAGCCUACAUGGCACUAAACAAGCAGUUCGAUUUAUACACUAGGGUGAUCUGGCAGCCGUACACGCAAGCAGCCAUAGAUGCAAGAUACCCCAACGGUAUUUCUGAGCUAUGCACAAGGGAUCAGGAUUACUGGAUGGCAAAAUCGAAGAUCAUCUUCGAUGUCUUCGUCGAGGGCAUGGCCCAACAGAGGGUUAUGAGGCAAUUUGGUCUUCGACAGUUGGUCUAGCCUUCGCCUACAGAGGCUCCGCUGCCACCAGUAGUCCACAUGUAUUGUCUACUUAUUCUAUGUUGGAUUUUCUUUCACAAUUGACCAUAGUGAAGCAUUACUUAAUUGUUGAAC